UCCUUUAAAUCAAAGAGACCCUCCAAAAUAUACAUUGAUGCCCUAAGAGCAAGUUUAAUAGUAUAGCCAACUACACGCUCCAAAUCAUCUAUAGCUAACUUAAUAGCCAAUUCAUACAAUAGUUACUUACUAUAGUAUUAAUACCUGGUCCUACCUGUCAUACGCACAUUACAUCUUGAAAUCCGUGUGGUGCCAAAUCCUCGACGACUUCACUCUCACACCGAGCGGAGCACACAACCGCGAUGCUCCGCCCUCCGCCCUCCGCUGCCGGCCGUCCCAGUCCCAUCGUCACCGCCGGCAAGCCCGCCCCCCACCGAGGCCGCCGCCACCGCGAGGUGGCUCGCCGCCCAGAACACGUGGGGCGUCCUCAGGGUAUGAAAAGCUUCAGAAUAAGCUACUGAGAGUAUAUUGGCUUCAGAAGAAGCCACGGGGGAUGAAAUUCUUCAGAAGAUACUUCAGUUUGCAAACGGAUAUAUGCAUUGAACGCUCCGCGGUCACUCCCUUCCCUCUCAUUAUCCUCACAGGAAAUGCCCACUGGUGCUCAGGGGCGAUCUCUCUGACGAUCAUGAUGGCAGCACUGACAGAGGUGAAUGCCAAUUGAGAAGCAGCCACCGCUGGAUCUGCUGUUGCAGAAUUUGGUCUUGUACCAGCAACAACAAUACGCCCUUCUGCAACAAAGUUAUAGGGAAGGUGCUCUUGCCUGUGCAUUCCUCUAAUCUAGCAUUUUCAUUGCACAUUUGACCUGAUAAGAUACUUUUCUUAUAGAUGAAGGGGUCAGUACUCCAGUGCUAGGGCACAACGUCGGUGCUCAAGCUUGCACGGUGAUGGUUACUGUUACUGGUUGAUGGCUAUUCUGAGGAUGAUGUUCAGAAAUAAAACUAAAUGGAACUACAAAGUCCAAUUGCAUCCAGUCCAUAUAGGAGCUGAACAGGUCCAGUUAAUGGCAUCUAAAGUGAGCAAAUUUUUUAGUGCUUCUGCAGUUUGCCAACUGAUCUGUCGAUUAGUAGAAAUAUUACUACGUUCUCUUUUACCAUCAUUAUUUUUUAUGUAAUCAAUGGGAAGAUAUGUCUUUAAUAACUAUCAUCGUGAUUGUUUAUAA
Molecule: non-coding RNA, 1099 nt
Organism: Oryza sativa Japonica Group (Japanese rice)
Lineage: Eukaryota; Viridiplantae; Streptophyta; Magnoliopsida; Poales; Poaceae
Source: RefSeq, a predicted model, not a curated record